CCUACGGGAGGCAGCAGUGAGGAAUAUUGGUCAAUGGGCGCGAGCCUGAACCAGCCAAGUAGCGUGAAGGAUGACUGCCCUACGGGUUGUAAACGUCUUUUAUAAAGGAAUAAAGUGAGGCACGUGUGCCUUUUUGUAUGUACUUUAUGAAUAAGGAUCGGCUAACUUCGUGCCAACAGCCGCGGUAAUAUGGAGGAUCCGAGCGUUACCCGGGCUUGUUUGGUUUAAAGGGAGCGUAGAUGGGUUGUUAAGUCAGUUGUGAAAGUUUGCAGUGCAACCGUAAAAUUGCAAUUGAUACUGGCUGCCUUGAGUACAGUUGAGGUAGGCGGAAUUCGUGGUGUAGCGGUGAAAUGCUUAGAUAUCACGAAGAACUCCGAUUGCGAAGGCAGCUUACUAAACUGCCACUGACAUUGAUGCUCGAAAGUGUGGGUAUCAAACAGGAUUAGAUACCCGUGUAGUC
Molecule: ribosomal RNA, 460 nt
Filed under: uncultured bacterium
Lineage: Bacteria
Description: partial 16S ribosomal RNA
Rfam family: Bacterial small subunit ribosomal RNA
Source: RNAcentral